Molecule: small nuclear RNA, 318 nt
Filed under: Mus caroli (Ryukyu mouse)
Lineage: Eukaryota; Metazoa; Chordata; Mammalia; Rodentia; Muridae
Description: sRNA (MGP_CAROLIEiJ_G0008937.1)
Rfam family: 7SK RNA
About the family: 7SK was discovered as an abundant small nuclear RNA in the mid-70s but a possible function has only recently been suggested.
Source: RNAcentral
GUAUAGGUCAGUUUUUGAAAAAUCUGUCACCUCACAUUACCAAGAUCAUUCCACUGAUCUGGCUGGCUAGAUGACUGUCCCCCUUUUCCCUUGACACUCUAUAUACAACCUUCUCCAAUAUGUAGUCUGACUAAAAGGCUAAACUUUGCCCAAAGAAGAAGCCCUUUCUUGGGUCAAGGGUAUAUAUGAGUAGCUGCACUCCCAUGCUACUAGACCAUCCAAACAAGCCCUCAAGGUCCACUUGAGAACAAAGGGUGGUCAAGCAUCCAGUCCUCUGAACACAUCCAAAGGAGACCCUGUGUGAGGAAGUCUGUCUUU